GCGGGAGUCAAAGCAGCUGCAGAGGAGGAAGGACGGCCGCUCAGCCCCGCGUCGCCGUUCCUCUUCCCUCGCCCUGCGAGCAUCUGAUUUGUAUGCCAGCUUUUGUUCAGGAGCUGAAGGCAAUUUUUGUAGGGCUCAUUCCGCUCGUUUUCCCCACCACUACAACUUGUGAGGUUCACAUAGAAACCUAGGUGCUGCUGCACUUGGACCACUUCCAAAGCAUUUCUUCCAAAGAGUGCACAGCCCCAGUAACAUUUACCAGGAAAAGAGAACGUGUCGCCCUCCAGAUAUUGACCAUAACGCCUAGCAUGCCUCAUUACUGGCUAGACUUGAUGUGGCUCUGGGAAUUGUAGUUGUUCAGCAUCUGGAAGUCUGGAAGUCCCUAUCCCUGAUAUAAUGUAAUGGGGAAGAGGAGCUGAAGAAGCAGAAGAGCCACCUGAGUCUAUAGAUUGGGCCAAACAGAAUGUCUGCCAAAAGAAAAUGUUGUAGAAGGUGCUUUGCUAGUCAGACUUGAAGAAGGAUUGA
Molecule: non-coding RNA, 525 nt
Organism: Python bivittatus (Burmese python)
Lineage: Eukaryota; Metazoa; Chordata; Lepidosauria; Squamata; Pythonidae
Source: RefSeq, a predicted model, not a curated record